AGUGAACGCUGGCGGUAGGCCUAACACAUGCAAGUCGAACGGCAGCACAGUAAGAGCUUGCUCUUACGGGUGGCGAGUGGCGGGCGGGUGAGGAAUACAUCGGAAUCUACUUUUUCGGGGGGGAUAACGUAAGGAAACUUACGCUAAUACCGCAUACGACCUACGGGGGAAAGCAGGGGAUCUUCGGACCUUGCGCGAUUGAAUGAGCCGAUGUCGGAUUAGCUAGUUGGCGGGGUAAAGGCCCACCAAGACGAGGAUCCGUAGCUGGUCUGAGAGGAGGGUCGGCCACACUGGAACUUGGCCACGGUCCAGACUCCUACGGGAGGCCGCAGUGGGGAAUAUUGGACAAUGGGCGCAAGCCUGAUCCAGCCAUACCGCGUGUGUGAAGAAGGCCUUCGGUUUGUAAAGCCCUUUUGUUGGGAAAGAAAAGCAGCCGGUUAAUACCCCGCUGUUCUGACGGUACCCAAAGAAUAAGCACCGGCUAACUUCGUG
This 492-nucleotide ribosomal RNA is filed under the name uncultured bacterium. RNAcentral's name for it is "partial 16S ribosomal RNA". It matches the Rfam family "Bacterial small subunit ribosomal RNA", at positions 29 to 507 of the family's 1533-position model. The record is from RNAcentral.